UUUGUUACUUCAAACCAAUCGGACUUCGGUCUGACAUCAAGUGAUAUUGAACAAUUUAGCUGAUCGCGCGGUCUAAGAACCGGCGACAUAUCCUUCAAAUGUCUGCCUUAUCAACUUUCGAUGGUAGAUUAUGCGCCUACCAUGGUUGUAACGGGUAACGGAGAAUCAGGGUUUGAUUCCGGAGAGGGAGCCUGAGAAACGGCUACCACAUCCAAGGAAGGCAGCAGGCACGCAAAUUACCCACUCCCGGCACGGGGAGGUAGUGACGAAAAAUAACAAGCUGGUCUCAAUGAGUUCCAGCAUUGUAAUGGGAACAAUUUAAAUCUUUUAUCGAGGAUCUAUUGGAGGGCAAGUCUGGUGCCAGCAGCCGCGGUAAUUCCAGCUCCAAUAGCGUAUAUUAAAGUUGUUGCGGUUAAAAAGCUCGUAGUUGGAUCUAGGACUAGGGCUACGGUCGUUCAGCUUGGACGUACUGUAUGCCCGACUCCUUUUCUCUAGUAUUCGAUUGUUGCUCUUAAAUGAGUGACUUUAGUUGCUGGAACUUUUACCUUGAAAAAAUUGAAGUGCUCAAAGCAGGUU
RNAcentral lists this ribosomal RNA (576 nucleotides) under uncultured eukaryote. RNAcentral's name for it is "SSU rRNA". It matches the Rfam family "Eukaryotic small subunit ribosomal RNA", at positions 203 to 786 of the family's 1831-position model. The record is from RNAcentral.